This 2212-nucleotide unclassified non-coding RNA is filed under the name Hevea brasiliensis (rubber tree). The record is from RNAcentral. Lineage: Eukaryota; Viridiplantae; Streptophyta; Magnoliopsida; Malpighiales; Euphorbiaceae.
UGUGGUAGAGAUUGCCAUUGUGGGUAAGAGUAGUCUUUGUCUAUUAUGGUUGUUCUGGCUUAUGUAUGACAUGUUUAAGGGCUAAAAGGAGUUUGCAUUGAUCUUUUAUCUGAUGUAUUCCUUUGAUCCACUGUUAUUGCAUUUUAGUUUAUUUUUCUAGUCUUUUAUGAUCAAUUUCAACUUUCAAGUCUUCUAUGAUAGGUUGUCUUUGGCUAGAGAGAAAUGCUUGAAAAUUUAAGAGGCAACAUUGCGUCUGCAAUUAUUUUGGGAUAGAAUGCUUGUUCUUUUAAGAGUCAAGCCAUCUUCUUGGCUUGUUCAUGGCAUUCGGCCAUUGUAAAGUUUUACCAUUGUCUUUGUCUUUGGUAGACAUUCAAUUAGAAUGCUAAUUCUAUCUUUUCUUUUUCAUUUUUUCUGUUGAUUGAAGGAUGUAUCAUAUCUUCCUUGUCCCUAAUUAUCCUCUCCUUUCCUUGCAUAAUAUAUUCUCUUUCUUUAUUUUUUUCUUUGAGAUAUAAGAGUGAAAAUUGUCAUUCUAUGUUCCUAUGUUUUAUAAUUUAAAAGUGCCAUUCUUUUGUAGCCUUUGAGGUGACUGAUGCUUAAUUUAGCGGGCUGUGUUUCAAUCUGUUGUCCCUGUUCAUAACAUGCUACAUCUGUUUGGGAUUCAAUUCCUGUACGGAGGGUAGCUCAUCUCUCAUGAUCAUUUGAUCUGAAAACUGCUUAGAUUACUAGGAAGUCGAACCAUUGGAUUAAACCCUAACUUCUUAUGGCAAAGCCAUCACUAGUCAGUGAUACAUUGCCCUGGAGAUGUUCUUUCUAGGUAGUGAACAUUUUUAUGGUUUGUUAACACUACUGAUGAAGGGAAGACUGCCAUGGCAAUAAUGUCCAGAUUAUAAGUUUUUCAUCAUGUGUUCCUGCAGUUGUUGAUCACAGAUACAUGAAGCAUUAAGUAUUUCUUAUACAUACAUGUAAGCAAUUUGUAUGCUAAUUACAAAUUAUUAGCUUUAUCUCUUUAGAUAAAUAACUUACUUUUAAGAUUUAAAUUUAGGUUAAGAUUGUGAUAGAUGGAUAAAACUGUAAAACUUAUAGGCUCCUAAAGUUAAAAAAUUUUGAAGUUAAACCUUUUAAGAGUUAUAUGUGAAGAUAAAGGCAAGGAAAGCAGGAGAUGUGGCUAACAAAGGGAAUAAGAAUAAAGAAUGUGGAAUAUAGAGUUAUAACGGAAAAAGGAGGGUUAGGGGCAUGGUUAAAGAACAAAAAUGUAAAAAAGAAAUAAAGGAAAGGUAAGGGUAAAUGGCAAAAUAGGAAGUCCCGUAUGACUUAAUAGUGGUGGAGAUGAAAUAGUCCCAAAAGAAACACAUCUUCACACUGUUGGACAGAAGACUACAGUACAUGCCCUGGGCUUCUGUCUUGGGCCUGGUACUUGCCCAGGGUAUGUAUUUCUCUGUGCCUCUUCGCUGAAUUUUCUGGAACACUGUGUUUUUGCCCUACUUUCUUCCUUUGCUUAUUCCCUUGUUUCUCCCAUUUUCCCAAGGAUUCCUCACUAAUUUCAUCCAAUUCAAUGAGUUAAUGUUAGUCAUUAGUUGGUUGUAUUUCUUAAUUUUGGUCAGCUCCUUGAAUAUCAAUUCGUUUAAUACAUUUGACUAUGAGAGGCUCUUAUGUUUACGUAAUAGCCACCAUGGUUUCAAAUAAUGGCCGUUAUUUACAGGUUUUGAGGGAUGCCGUUACCCAUGAGGCCGUUAUGUAUAGGCAAAUAGGAAGUUGCAAUUGUAACGAGCGUUACGCCGUUGCGUAACAGUAACGACCGUUACUUGGAAUAUUCUUCUGCCACUCUUUCACAUGUGCAUAGUGUUUUGAUACCCAUUUUCUUGUCUCUACAUGCAACACUUCAGUAGCUGUUGUUUGACUUCAAUUUCUCUCAAAUUUUCACUCAAAAUUUUCUUAUUUUUUCAUACAUCUUUUUUUUCAUUGUUUUCUAAUAAUCUUGGCAAAGAUUAGUGUGAGUUAUUUAUGGUUUUAUACAAUUUAUUUUAAUUAUGUGCUGUUUUUUUUGUUUUCUUCGUUGUUUUGCAUAUUUUUUUAAAGAAAAUUAAUGUUGAUGUUAGAUUUGUUUUUAAGUUAGUAGCUUGAAGGGUUAGUUUACCCGAUCUAUAGGUUUAUAUGUUUUUUUUAGUAUUAUUUUGAACUAUUUUUAGGAUUUACAUUAUUAAUUACAAAAUAA